GAAGCUUCAGGCCUAACACAUGCAAGUCGAACGAAGGCUUCGGCCUUUGUGGCGCACGGGUGCGGAACGCGGGGGAAUCUGCCCUUGGGUUCGGAAUAACAGCGGGAAAUUGCUGCUAAUACCGGAUAAUGUCGCAAGACCAAAGAUUUAUUGCCCAAGGAUGAGCCCGCGUUGGAUUAGCUAGUUGGUGGGGUAAAAGCCUACCAAGGCGACGAUCCAUAGCUGGUCUGAGAGGAUGAUCAGCCACACUGGGACUGAGACACGGCCCAGACUCCUACGGGAGGCAGCAGUGGGGAAUAUUGGACAAUGGGCGAAAGCCUGAUCCAGCAAUGCCGCGUGAGUGAUGAAGGCCUUAGGGUUGUAAAGCUCUUUUACCCGGGAUGAUAAUGACCGUACCGGGAGAAUAAGCUCCGGCUAACUCCGUGCCAGCAGCCGCGGUAAUACGGAGGGAGCUAGCGUUGUUCGGAAUUACUGGGCGUAAAGCGCACGUAGGCGGCCUUGUAAGUCAGAGGUGAAAGCCUGGAGCUCAACUCCAGAACUGCCUUUGAGACUGCAUCGCUUGAAUCCAGGAGAGGUGAGUGGAAUUCCGAGUGUAGAGGU
Molecule: ribosomal RNA, 600 nt
Filed under: uncultured bacterium
Lineage: Bacteria
Description: bacterial SSU rRNA
Rfam family: Bacterial small subunit ribosomal RNA
Source: RNAcentral